ACCGGAUGACCUCGGGAGAGCAAAGCUCCGGCGCCCCGGGAGGGGCCCACGUGAUAUUAGCUGGUUGGUGAGGUGACGGCUCACCAAGGCGGAGAUGUCUAGCGGGUGUGAGAGCACGACCCGCGCCACUCGCACUGAGACACUGGCGAGACACCUACGGGUGGCUGCAGUCGAGGAUCUUCGGCAAUGCGCGCAAGCGCGACCGAGCGACGCCGCGUGGGCGAUGAAGGCCUUCGGGUUGUAAAGCCCUGUCGAGGGGGAGAAAAGCCGAAAGGUGUGAUCUAUCCCUGGAGGAAGCUCGGGCUAAGUUCGUGCCAGCAGCCGCGGUAAGACGAACCGAGCGAACGUUGUUCGGAAUCACUGGGCUUAAAGGGUGCGUAGGCGGGCUGCCAAGUUUGAGGUGAAAUCCUCCGGCUCAACCGGGGAAGUGCCUUGAAUACUGGCGGUCUG
Molecule: ribosomal RNA, 450 nt
Filed under: uncultured Planctomycetota bacterium
Lineage: Bacteria; Pseudomonadati; Planctomycetota
Description: bacterial SSU rRNA
Rfam family: Bacterial small subunit ribosomal RNA
Source: RNAcentral